This 328-nucleotide ribosomal RNA is filed under the name uncultured eukaryote. RNAcentral's name for it is "partial 18S ribosomal RNA". It matches the Rfam family "Eukaryotic small subunit ribosomal RNA", at positions 1470 to 1796 of the family's 1831-position model. The record is from RNAcentral.
CCCUUAGAUGUCCUGGGCCGCACGCGCGCUACACUGAUGCAUGCCACGAGUUUAUAACCUUGGCCUGAAAGGUCUGGGUAAUCUUUUGAACGUGCAUCGUGAUAGGGAUAGAUUAUUGCAAUUGUUAAUCUUGAACGAGGAAUUCCUAGUAAACGCGAGUCAUCAGCUCGCAUUGAUUACGUCCCUGCCCUUUGUACACACCGCCCGUCGCACCUACCGAUUGAAUGGUUCGGUGAAGAUCUCGGACUUCGAUAUUUAUUCUUUAUUGAGUUUAUAUUGUGGGAAGUUAUCUAAACCUCAUCAUUUAGAGGAAGGUGAAGUCGUAACA